AGUCGGAUGCGAACGGCGCUUUCGGGCGUUGAGUAGCAUGGCAGACGGGUGAGGAGCGCGUAUCUGACUGGACUCAGGCUGGGGGAUAGUCCNCUCGAAAGGGGGUUGAAUACCGCAUGUGCUCGGUGCUGUGAGGGCAUCGAGGAAAGUUGGCCUCUGCGGGCACGCUGAUGGCCUGAGACAGGGAUGCGUCCUAUUAGCUAGCUGGUGGGGUAAGGGCCUACCAGGGCGACGAUGGGUAGCUGGUCUGAGAGGAUGAUCAGCCACACUGGGACUGCGACACGGCCCAGACUCCUACGGGAGGCAGCAGUGGGGAAUUUUGCGCAAUGGGCGCAAGCCUGACGCAGCAACGCCGCGUGCAUGACGACGCCUUUCGAGGUGUAAAGUGCUGUCGACCGGGACGAAGGGGCGAGGGUGAACAGCUUUCGCGCAUGACGGUACCGGUGGAGGAAGCCCCGGCUAACUCCGUGCCAGCAGCCGCGGUAAGACGGAGGGGGCGAGCGUUGUUCGGAAUUACUGGGCGUAAAGCGCGCGUAGGCGGUGCAGCAAGUGGUGCGUGAAAGCCCUCGGCUUAACCGGGGACGGGCGUGCCAAACUGUUGGACUGGAGUGCCGGAGGGGGAGGCGGAAUUCCUGGUGGAGCGGUGAAAUGCGUAGAGAUCAGGAAGAACGUCGGUGGCGAAGGCGGCCUCCUGGACGGACACUGACGCUGAGGUGCGACAGCGUGGGGAGCGAACGGGGAUUAGAUACCCCGGUAGU
This 758-nucleotide ribosomal RNA is filed under the name uncultured organism. Its description in RNAcentral is "bacterial SSU rRNA". It matches the Rfam family "Bacterial small subunit ribosomal RNA", at positions 60 to 794 of the family's 1533-position model. The record is from RNAcentral.